RNAcentral lists this ribosomal RNA (400 nucleotides) under uncultured bacterium. RNAcentral's name for it is "bacterial SSU rRNA". It matches the Rfam family "Bacterial small subunit ribosomal RNA", at positions 356 to 773 of the family's 1533-position model. The record is from RNAcentral.
GGGGAAUAUUGCACAAUGGAGGAAACUCUGAUGCAGCAACGCCGCGUGGAGGAUGACGCAUUUCGGUGUGUAAACUCCUUUUAUAGGGGAAGAUAAUGACGGUACCCUAUGAAUAAGCACCGGCUAACUCCGUGCCAGCAGCCGCGGUAAUACGGAGGGUGCAAGCGUUACUCGGAAUCACUGGGCGUAAAGGAUGCGUAGGCUGGAAAUCAAGUCGAGAGUGAAAUCCAACGGCUCAACCGUUGAACUGCUCUCGAAACUGGUUACCUAGAAUAUGGGAGAGGUAGAUGGAAUUAGUGGUGUAGGGGUAAAAUCCGUAGAUAUCACUAGGAAUACCGAUUGCGAAGGCGAUCUACUGGAACAUUAUUGACGCUGAGGCACGAAAGCGUGGGGAGCAAAC